This 448-nucleotide ribosomal RNA is filed under the name uncultured soil bacterium. RNAcentral's name for it is "bacterial SSU rRNA". It matches the Rfam family "Bacterial small subunit ribosomal RNA", at positions 26 to 518 of the family's 1533-position model. The record is from RNAcentral.
AGAACGAACGCUGGCGGCAGGCCUAACACAUGCAAGUCGAGCGGAUCCUUCGGGAUUAGCGGCGGACGGGUGAGUAACGCGUGGGAACAUACCCUUUGGUACGGAAUAGCCUCGGGAAACUGAGAGUAAUACCGUAUGUGCCCUUCGGGGGAAAGAUUUAUCGCCAAAGGGAUUGGCCCGCGUUGGAUUAGGUAGUUGGUGGGGUAAUGGCCUACCAAGCCGACGAUCCAUAGCUGGUUUGAGAGGAUGAUCAGCCACACUGGGACUGAGACACGGCCCAGACUCCUACGGGAGGCAGCAGUGGGGAAUCUUAGACAAUGGGGGAAACCCUGAUCUAGCCAUGCCGCGUGAUCGAUGAAGGCCUUAGGGUUGUAAAGAUCUUUCAGUGGGAAGAUAAUGACGGUACCCACAGAAGACGCCCCGGACUAACGCCGUGCCAGCAGCCGAC